Molecule: regulatory RNA element, 165 nt
Organism: Photobacterium sp.
Lineage: Bacteria; Pseudomonadati; Pseudomonadota; Gammaproteobacteria; Vibrionales; Vibrionaceae
Rfam family: DABA-DC-AT RNA
Source: Rfam
GCAAUCUCAGGGGGCAGUAUUACUGAGACAUAUGCGUUGUGAUGAAUUCAGGCUGAUUGUGUCACAACGUGCCGUAGGUACUGGCGAACCUUUCGUCAGUAGAAGGGCAUUAAUAGCGCGGACCUGCCACCAAAUAGAGCAGGAGCAUAUUGAAGGAACCCAACA